CCAAAUUUUUGCAAGUAAUAUUGGUGAUGGUAGGAAUGAUAAUACUGGUCCUGAUCAAAAUCUAGAUAAUACGAGUAGUUUGAUGAUGGAAUUGAAUGUAGAUCAAGAUGUAAAUAGUACGACUACUUCUGAUACAGGGUGAUAAUUUUUCCUAUGUACUUGUUUAAUUUUUUAUUGAAGUAGUGGCGUUAUUGAUUGUUAAUGAAUGUUCUUUAAUGUAGAGUGCAUGUGCAUGACUGAUGAACCUUUUCGCCUUUUGCCCCAGCCAGACCAUUUUUUAACUUACCAUAUUACAUUUUUUGCGUUCAAACAAAUGAUGCAUAUGAAGGAGUUGAAGAGCUGAGAAGAAAAUUGUUAGGCGUAUCACAGGAAAAUGAAAAAUUAAAACAUCAACUUGCUGGUGUCAUGGUGUCAAACGUGUUUUAAGUGAAAACCAAAUCAAGAAAAUAAAUAUCCAGAAAAGAAUUUCUUCGUCAGUAAGCGAAAUCUCAAAUGCAAUAGCAGAAUAUGCGGCUGGACCAAGGGUAUAUAAGCUUAGCUUAAAAAGAGGUUUUCCAUAUCCUGCUGUUUUAACACUUAAGCAGUGGCUGAGGAAAAUAAAACUGGAACCAGGUAUUUUAAAAAAUGCUCUAAGAAUAGCUGAAUUUGCUUCAAUGAAUAGAAAAGAACGUGCAUGCACCAUAAUGAGAUAAAAGUUAAAAGGGAAUACCAAUAUGAUCAGGCAAAUGAUUGUGUAAUGAAGCCCUAUAGUUAUGUACAGGUUGUUUUAAUCAAAGGGAUAUUAAAGCCGUGGAAGCAACCUAUAUUCUACGACUUUUACUGUAAAAUGACAUCUACUCUACUAAUGGCAAUCAUUAAAUUUGUGGAAGAAUCAGGUUUCCAUGUUGUGGCUAUGAUUUGUGAUUUGGGCGGUGCUAACCGAGGAUUUCAUAGCGAAUUGGACAUAUCUGCGUCAAAGCCAUAUUUCCAAAAUCCCAUCAACAAUGAAAAAGUUUUUGUAUAGGCUGAUGUCCCUCACCUCAUAAAACUUAUUAGGAACAAUUUUGUGGACUAUGGUUUUUAAUUAACAACAAAGUGAUUAAAAAAGACAUUAUAGAACAAGCAAUAAGUGCCACUAGUGCUUUGGAUUUGAAAAUCACCCAUAAAAUAACUUUAGGACCAAACUAUUUUCUCACACCAUCUCGAGUGCAAUAUCACGGUGUGGAAUACUGGGAUAUUUAACUGCGGAAAAUUGUUGAUUUGUUUAAAAUGGUUAAUGAUUGGUUUGAUGUGUUUAAUGACAGCACCCCCAUUAGUGAUUCAAGAACAAGAAAUAGAGCCUAUGGGGUUAAAAGUAAUUGGCAGCCGAAGCCAGUAUCCAUUUCAAAAGGGUAUUUCGAUAUCUAAUCAGGCUUUACAAAUGCUCCUUGUAAAUAUGACACGCCGUUUUGACGUGCAAUAUUUGUUAACCAGGCGUAUAAAUCAAGAUGCGAUAGAAAACUUUUUUGGGAUAAUCAGAGCAAAAGGGGGCCUUCAUGAUCAUCCUAGUCCUAUGGAAUUUAAGUAUAGGUAAAUUAUUGUCUAGAGAGGCCAGCUAAGGUAGUUAUUUAGAAACUUAUUUUUAUAUUCCUCUACAGGUUGAGAUCUUACAUUUUGGGUAGAAAUGAGGGUGUAUAUCCAGAGUUUUCAAACAUGGAAGCAGAUGAUACCCCAGACAUCCCACUCAGCGGAGUACUCGUUGAAAAAUUGAAUAUCAUUCCUUCUGUAGCAGAUUGAAAUGAAAACAUUUCUGCCCUAAGAGAGGAAUUGAAUGAGUUGGUCUACGAUGGACUCAAAAAUUUAGCUGGUUUUAUUUGCCACAAACUUAAAGAUUCUGGUUUGGAAAUCACUUUGAGUGAGAGCUACUCCUGUAUAAUGUUAUCACAUUCUUAAAUUCAUUUGUUCUUGUCAAAGUUAUAUUAGAACAUUUUUCUUUUAUUAUGAUAGAAUGCAAUAAGGUCCAUAUUUUAAUUUAUACAAAUCAGUAAUAUUUAAUGAACCCUUUGGCUUAUAUAAAUUUAUUGUUGGUUUUAACAUUGGCACAUAAUUAUUUUGUUUUGAAUUUUUUUCCAAAGGUUCAAUUUUAUUUUUGAAAGCAGAUCCCCAAAUAGAAAUUAGAUACUGAAUUUUAGA
This is a long non-coding RNA of Anthonomus grandis grandis, 2151 nucleotides long. RefSeq lists it as uncharacterized. The record is from RefSeq and is a predicted model, not a curated record. The transcript is spliced from 6 exons. Lineage: Eukaryota; Metazoa; Arthropoda; Insecta; Coleoptera; Curculionidae.